CCUACGGGAGGCUGCAGUGAGGAAUAUUGGUCAAUGGACGAGAGUCUGAACCAGCCAAGUAGCGUGAAGGAUGACUGCCCUAUGGGUUGUAAACUUCUUUUAUAUGGGAAUAAAACGUUCCACGUGUGGGAUUUUGUAUGUACCAUAUGAAUAAGGAUCGGCUAACUCCGUGCCAGCAGCCGCGGUAAUACGGAGGAUCCGAGCGUUAUCCGGAUUUAUUGGGUUUAAAGGGAGCGUAGGUGGAUUGUUAAGUCAGUUGUGAAAGUUUGCGGCUCAACCGUAAAAUUGCAGUCGAAACUGGCAGUCUUGAGUACAGUAGAGGUGGGCGGAAUUCGUGGUGUAGCGGUGAAAUGCUUAGAUAUCACGAAGAACUCCGAUUGCGAAGGCAGUUCACUGGACUGCAACUGACACUGAGGCUCGAAAGUGUGGGUAUCAAACAGGAUUAGAUACCCGUGUAGUC
Molecule: ribosomal RNA, 460 nt
Filed under: uncultured bacterium
Lineage: Bacteria
Description: partial 16S ribosomal RNA
Rfam family: Bacterial small subunit ribosomal RNA
Source: RNAcentral